GACGAACGCUGGCGGCGUGCUUAACACAUGCAAGUCGAACGAUGAAGCGGGUGCUUGCACUCGUGGAUUAGUGGCGAACGGGCGAAUAACACGUGAGUAACCUGUCCUUUUCUUUGGGAUAACGGCUGGAAACGGCUGCUAAUACUGGAUAUUCAGGCUGCAUCGCAUGGUGUGGUUUGGAAAGGUUUUUUCUGGGAUUGGGUGGGCUCGCGGCCUAUCAGCUUGUUGGUGGGGUGAUGGCUUACCAAGGCUUUGACGGGUAGCCGGCCUGAGAGGGUGGGCGGUCGCACUUGGACUGGGAUACGGCCCAGACUCCUACGGGAGGCGGCAGUGGGGAAUAUUGCACAAUGGACGAAAGUGUGAUGCAGCGGCGCCGCGUGGAGGGUGUAGGCCUUCGGGUUGUGAACUCCUUUGUCUCGCGAAAAAGGCACAGUUUUGGCUGUGUUGAUGGUAGUGGGGGAAGAAGCGCCGGCUAACUACGUG
RNAcentral lists this ribosomal RNA (483 nucleotides) under uncultured bacterium. RNAcentral describes it as "partial 16S ribosomal RNA". It matches the Rfam family "Bacterial small subunit ribosomal RNA", at positions 28 to 507 of the family's 1533-position model. The record is from RNAcentral.